ACCAUAUUGGUCAGGCUGGUCUCAAACUCCUGAUCUCAAGUGAUCCAUCCGCCUCAGCCUCCCAAAGUGCUGGGAUUACAGGCAUCAAAAAGGAAAAAAAAAAGACUAACAAAGGAGGAAGUUGGGAGAUCAAUGUCCUCAAAAGACCCAGACAAUUGCCAACCCACUGAAUUCUAGGAAGGCAGGGUCUAAGUCUUGGUCAGUAGAGUGAGUAGAGUGGAAAUUGUCCCUUAGGGGGACAGUAAUGAUGGCCCGGCACGGUGGCUCAUGCUUAUAAUCUCAGCACUUUGGGAGGUCAAGGUAGGUGGAUCACUUGAGGCCAGGAAUUCGAGACCGGCCUGGCCAACAUGGCAAAACCCGGUCUUUACUAAAAAAAAUACAAAAAUUAGCCAGGCGUGGUGGCACGUGUCUGUAGUCCCAGUUACUUGGGAGGCUGAGGCAGGAGAAUCGCUUGAACCUGGGGGAUGGAGGUUGCAGUGAGCUGAGAUUGACUCACUGCACUCCAGCCUGAAUGACAGAAUGAAACUCUGUCACACACACACAAAAGGGUAGGCCAGGCGGUGGCUCACGCCUAUAAUCCCAGCACUUUGAGAGGCCAAGGAGGUGGGUGGGUCACCUGAGGUCAAGAGUUGGAGACCAGCCUUACCAACAUAGUGAAACCCCAUGUCUACUAAAAAUUCAAAAUUAGCCAGGCAUGGUAGCUCAUGCCCGUAAUCCCAGCUACUUGGGAGGCUGAGGCAGGAGAACUGCUUGAAGUCGGGAGGCAGAGGUUGCAGUGAGCCAAGAUCGCGCCAUUACACUCCAACUUGGGUGACAAGAGUGAAACUCCGUCUCAAAAAAAAAAAAAAGUAAUGAUAAUCGUACCCGUUUCUUAGCGGUGUUUGAAGAGGUAAGUUAUUAAUGCAGGGAUCAUGGUAUCUGGUACACUGCAAGCCCUUGAUACAUGUUCCUUGCUAUUAUUCUUCAUCUUUUCCUCACACAUCUCAGCAAAUCGAUUUGCCUCUUCUGGAGUCAGACAGAAAUGAGUUCAAGUUCCGCUUUAUUCUUGCUGUAUCUUUAACCGAGUAUCUUUAACUUGAGCCUCCCCCCAACACCCCCCCCCCCCCGCAAAGGCUGGUGGGGCGCUGGGCUGCGGUGGCAUCAGAGGCUUUAACCCUUCCCAGGCCGCGCCUCUCUCCCUGCGGUCCAGACACUGCGCCCAAGGAGGGGGCCUGGGAAGGACAAGGCCUGGGGGUAAGACCCACGCGUGGCGCGGAAGCUAGACCGGGUGGGGGGGUUGUGGGCUCGUCCUGCCCUCGACCCUUUGCCGCCUCGGCGCACAAACUCACCCCCGCAUCCACGCGCUUGCGCGCCGUCACUCCCUCCUGUGGGGUCUCACGGGGUCACACCCUCACGCAAUGCACCUGUCACACACAGCCGCACACUCCCCGGCAGUCACAAACAGUGUCAUAGGCCCACACAUCACGCACAGCUUCACAGCCACAGUGUCACACACUCUACACACUCGAACCUUCAUAGCAGUCGCCCCGCACAUGCUGCACCGCCGCACCUCACACAUCAUAGUCACAGGGGGUCACAAUGAGCAGCUCAACACAGACACCCACAGCCACACACUCGAAUGGGGUCCCGGUGUCACACAUCCUUACACGAGACAUGUGGUGUCACACACUGUCACAGUCUAAUUAGUCUCACGCUUCCAUGUAGCACACCUCACACGUCCCACACCCUAUCGUACAGGCUGACGCAGUGUCACCCACGGUGUCACCACAAGGUCACAAAAGAACAGAAUCAAUGCCUGCCACACGUGGUGUCACGCACGUGUAGUCACACUGUAACACGGGAUCACACUCAGAGGAUGACACAAGGUGUCACCCACAGUCCUGCUUGCCCUCCGGGUCACUGAGUCACACAGGGUCAUCCCGCCCCUCUCCGGGAGGUGGAGCGCGGAGGCAGGGCGCUGAGUGACAAGCUGGACGGUGAGCGAAUGCAAGCUGACGCCUGCCCCGCCCAUCCGCGUUAGGCCCCGCCCCUUGACCUGAGCCGCGGGCGGAGAGUCUGAGGCGUGGCCCUUCGAGCCAGCUCCGCCCCGUUGUUCCUGGCUUGAGUAGGGCAGAGAGCACCGCCCAGCAGCCAGUGGGUUCCCGCGCGUGCCGAGACUCUGAGGCCU
Molecule: long non-coding RNA, 2167 nt
Filed under: Homo sapiens (human)
Lineage: Eukaryota; Metazoa; Chordata; Mammalia; Primates; Hominidae
Description: non-protein coding lnc-BLVRB-2:1
Source: RNAcentral